Long non-coding RNA from Tupaia belangeri chinensis (Chinese tree shrew), 176 nucleotides. RefSeq lists it as uncharacterized. The transcript is spliced from 3 exons. NCBI's taxonomy places the organism in Eukaryota, Metazoa, Chordata, Mammalia, Scandentia, Tupaiidae. The record is from RefSeq and is a predicted model, not a curated record.
CAGGCCUCCCUUGAAAUGCAAGUUGUGAAAUGUCAACAUAAUUAGGAAAAUGCAAACACAGGAGCAUUUGCUUAUGGGAACUAAUGGUUUUUAAUGGAGACAGUCCUUGGGGAACACGAGAUCAAGGGGAGAGAGAUCAGGAUGAAGAAGUAAGAAUGGAAUAACUUGGAGUCAGG